AACGAACGCUGGCGGCAGGCCUAACACAUGCAAGUCGAGCGAGGUAGCAAUACCUAGCGGCGGACGGGUUAGUAACGCGUGGGAACGUGCCCAAAGGUACGGAAUAGCCUCGGGGAAACUGAGAGUAAUACCGUAUGUGCCCUUCGGGGGUAAAGAUUUAUCGCCUUUGGGUCGGCCCGCGUUGGAUUAGGUAGUUGGUGGGGUAAGUGGCCUACCAAGCCGACGAUCCAUAGCUGGUUUGAGAGGAUGAUCAGCAACACUGGGACUGAGACACGGCCCAGACUCCUACGGGAGGCAGCAGUGGGGAAUCUUAGACAAUGGGGGAAACCCUGAUCUAGCCAUGCCGCGUGAGCGAUGAAGGCCUUAGGGUUGUAAAGCUCCUUCAGCUGGGAAGAUAAUGACGGUACCAGCAGAAGAAGCCCCGGCUAACUCCGUGCCAGCAGCCGCGGUAA
RNAcentral lists this ribosomal RNA (452 nucleotides) under uncultured bacterium. RNAcentral's name for it is "bacterial SSU rRNA". It matches the Rfam family "Bacterial small subunit ribosomal RNA", at positions 29 to 523 of the family's 1533-position model. The record is from RNAcentral.